This 400-nucleotide ribosomal RNA is filed under the name uncultured bacterium. Its description in RNAcentral is "bacterial SSU rRNA". It matches the Rfam family "Bacterial small subunit ribosomal RNA", at positions 358 to 774 of the family's 1533-position model. The record is from RNAcentral.
GGAAUAUUGCACAAUGGAGGAAACUCUGAUGCAGUGACGCCGCGUAUAGGAAGAAGGUUUUCGGAUUGUAAACUAUUUUAGACAGGGAAGAAAAAAGACGGUACCUGUAGAAUAAGCCCCGGCUAACUAUGUGCCAGCAGCCGCGGUAAUACAUAGGGGGCAAGCGUUAUCCGGAAUUAUUGGGCGUAAAGGGUGCGUAGACGGGAGAAUAAGUUAGUUGUGAAAUCCCUCGGCUUAACUGAGGAACUGCAACUAAAACUGUUUUUCUUGAGUGUAGGAGAGGAAAGUGGAAUUCCUAGUGUAGCGGUGAAAUGCGUAGAUAUUAGGAGGAACACCAGUGGCGAAGGCGACUUUCUGGACUAUAACUGACGUUGAUGCACGAAAGUGUGGGGAGCAAACA